This 73-nucleotide transfer RNA is filed under the name Stegodyphus mimosarum. It matches the Rfam family "tRNA". Rfam says of the family: Transfer RNA (tRNA) molecules are approximately 80 nucleotides in length. Their secondary structure includes four short double-helical elements and three loops (D, anti-codon, and T loops). The record is from Rfam by way of RNAcentral. Lineage: Eukaryota; Metazoa; Arthropoda; Arachnida; Araneae; Eresidae.
GCCUUUGUGGUGUAGUGGUCAGCACGCUCGGCACAUAUUUGAGAAAUCCGUAGUUGAAGUCCCGGUGAGGGCA